AACGAACGCUGGCGGCAUGCCUAACACAUGCAAGUCGAACGAGACCUUCGGGGCUAGUGGCGCACGGGGGGUUGACGCGUGGUAACCUACCCUUAGGUUCAGGAUAACUCCCCGAGAGGGGUGCUAAGACCGGAGGAUUUCUUCGGCCCAAAGAUUUAGUGCGUUUGGUUGGGCCCUCGUUGGCUUCGCUAGUUGGGAUGGUAAAAGCCUACCAAGGCGACUAUCCGUAGCUGGGCUGAGAGGCUGAUCAGCCACACUGGGACUGAGAAGCGGCGCAGAAUCCUACGGGAGGCAGCAGUGGCGAAUAUUGGAAAGCCGGCGAAAGGAUGAUCGAGCACGGGUGGGUGAGUGAUGAAGGCCUUAGGGUUGUACAGCUCUCUUACACGGGCUGAUAAUGACAGUACCGGGAGAAUAAGCACCGGCUAACUCCGUG
RNAcentral lists this ribosomal RNA (433 nucleotides) under uncultured bacterium. RNAcentral's name for it is "partial 16S ribosomal RNA". It matches the Rfam family "Bacterial small subunit ribosomal RNA", at positions 29 to 507 of the family's 1533-position model. The record is from RNAcentral.